GACGAACCGUGCGAACGUUAUUCGGAAUCACUGGGCUUAAAGCGCGUGUAGGCGGGCCGGCACGUCGGUCGCUGAAAUCCCCCGGCUCAACCGGGGAAGGGGCGCCGAUACGACCGGCCUGGAGGGACGUAGGGGGAGCUGGAACUUCCGGUGGAGCGGUGAAAUGCGUUGAGAUCGGAAGGAACGCCCGUGGCGAAAGCGAGCUCCUGGACGUUUUCUGACGCUGAGACGCGAAAGCCAGGGGAGCGAACGGG
RNAcentral lists this ribosomal RNA (254 nucleotides) under uncultured bacterium. RNAcentral's name for it is "partial 16S ribosomal RNA". It matches the Rfam family "Bacterial small subunit ribosomal RNA", at positions 524 to 776 of the family's 1533-position model. The record is from RNAcentral.